This 434-nucleotide ribosomal RNA is filed under the name uncultured bacterium. RNAcentral describes it as "partial 16S ribosomal RNA". It matches the Rfam family "Bacterial small subunit ribosomal RNA", at positions 29 to 507 of the family's 1533-position model. The record is from RNAcentral.
AGCGAACGCUGGCGGCAGGCCUAACACAUGCAAGUCGAACGAACCUUUCGGGGUUAGUGGCGGACGGGUGAGUAACACGUGGGAACGUGCCUUUAGGUUCGGAAUAACUCAGGGAAACUUGUGCUAAUACCGAAUGUGCCCUUCGGGGGAAAGAUUAAUCGCCUUUAGAGCGGCCCGCGUCUGAUUAGCUAGUUGGUUGAGGUAAUGGCUCACCAAGGCGACGAUCAGUAGCUGGUCUGAGAGGAUGAUCAGCCACAUUGGGACUGAGACACGGCCCAAACUCCUACGGGAGGCAGCAGUGGGGAAUCUUGCGCAAUGGGCGAAAGCUUGACGCAGCCAUGCCGCGUGAAUGAUGAAGGUCUUAGGAUUGUAAAAUUCUUUCACCGGGGACGAUAAUGACGGUACCCGGAGAAGAAGCCCCGGCUAACUUCGUG